This 497-nucleotide ribosomal RNA is filed under the name uncultured bacterium. RNAcentral's name for it is "partial 16S ribosomal RNA". It matches the Rfam family "Bacterial small subunit ribosomal RNA", at positions 28 to 507 of the family's 1533-position model. The record is from RNAcentral.
GACGAACGCUGGCGGCGUGCCUAAUACAUGCAAGUCGAGCGAACGGACGAGGAGCUUGCUUCUCUGGUGUUAGCGGCGGACGGGUGAGUAACACGUGGAUAACCUACCUAUAAGACUGGGACAACUUCGGGAAACCGGAGCUAAUACCGGAUAAUAUUUUUAACCGCAUGGUUGAAAAGUGAAAGAGGGUCUUGCUGUCCUCUAUAGCUAUCUCCGCGUUGCAUUAGUUAGUUGGUAAGGUAACGGCUUCCCAAGGCAACGAUGCAUAGCCGACCUGAGAGGGGGAACGGCCACACUGGAACUGAGACACGGUCCAGACUCCUACGGAAGGCAGCAGUAGGGAAUCGUGGGCAAUGGGCGAAAGCCUGACGGAUCAACGCCGCGUGGGUGAUGAGGGUCUGCGGAUCGUAAAACUCUGUUAUUAGGGAAGACCAUAUGUGUAAGUAACUGUGCACUUCGUGACGGUACCUAAUCAGAAAGCCACGGCUAACUACGUG